UCGAGGAUCUUCGGCAAUGGGCGCAAGCCUGACCGAGCGACGCCGCGUGUGCGAUGAAGGCCUUCGGGUUGUAAAGCACUGUCGAGGGGGAGGAAAGCCGAAAGGUUUGACCUAUCCCUGGAGGAAGCACGGGCUAAGUUCGUGCCAGCAGCCGCGGUAAGACGAACCGUGCGAACGUUGUUCGGAAUCACUGGGCUUAAAGGGCGCGUAGGCGGGUGACCAAGUCAGGGGUGAAAUCUUUCGGCUUAACCGGAAAACAGCCCCUGAUACUGGACGUCUUGAGGGAGGUAGGGGCAUGUGGAACUUCUGGUGGAGCGGUGAAAUGCGUAGAUAUCAGAAGGAACGCCGGUGGCGAAAGCGACGUGCUGGACCUUCUCUGACGCUGAGGCGCGAAAGCUAGGGUAGCGAACGGGAUUAGAUACCCCCGUAGUCC
This 433-nucleotide ribosomal RNA is filed under the name uncultured bacterium. RNAcentral's name for it is "bacterial SSU rRNA". It matches the Rfam family "Bacterial small subunit ribosomal RNA", at positions 355 to 796 of the family's 1533-position model. The record is from RNAcentral.